This 421-nucleotide ribosomal RNA is filed under the name uncultured bacterium. Its description in RNAcentral is "partial 16S ribosomal RNA". It matches the Rfam family "Bacterial small subunit ribosomal RNA", at positions 360 to 773 of the family's 1533-position model. The record is from RNAcentral.
AAUAUUUGACAAUGGGGGCAACCCUGAUCCAGCCAUGCCGCGUGUGUGAAGAAGGGCUUCGGAUUGUAAAGCACUUUAAGUUGGGAGGAAGGGCUUUAGGUUAAUACCCUGAAGUUUUGACGUUACCAAAAGAAUAAGCACCGGCGAACCAUGUGCCAGCAGCAGCGGUAAUACGGAGGGUGCAAGCGUUAAUCGGAAUUACUGGGCGUAAAGCGUGCGGAGGUGGUUCAGUAAGAUGUGUGUGAAGUCACCGGGCUUAACCUGGGAACUGCUUUCAUAACUGCUGAGCUAGAGUACGGUAGAGGGUAGUGGAAUUUCCUGUGUAGCGGUGAAAUGCGUAGAUAUAGGAAGGAACACCAGUGGCGAAGGCGACUACCUGGACUGAUACUGACACUGAGGUGCGAAAGCGUGGGGAGCAAAC